Clostridiales bacterium 52_15 is the source of this 173-nucleotide non-coding RNA. NCBI's taxonomy places the organism in Bacteria, Bacillati, Bacillota, Clostridia, Eubacteriales. The record is from Rfam.
UCCAUCGUGAGGUGGAAUCUGAAGGAAGUCGGAGGUCAGCGAAAAAAUGCAGGCGGGCAAACGCCUGAACCGAUGAACAGAAACACAUAGUAGGCCGUGGAAGCAGUGGAAGAAGUCCAAAACGAAGGUAGGCAACUUGAGACAGAUGGGCGUCCUGGCUGACAGGGUAUACC